GGGCGAAUAGCUCAGUUGGUUAGAGCACCUGCCUUACACGCAGGGGGUCGGGGGUUCGAGUCCCUCUUCGCUCA
Molecule: transfer RNA, 74 nt
Filed under: Gemmatimonadaceae bacterium
Lineage: Bacteria; Pseudomonadati; Gemmatimonadota; Gemmatimonadia; Gemmatimonadales; Gemmatimonadaceae
Also listed under: 2 other names
Description: tRNA-Val
Rfam family: tRNA
About the family: Transfer RNA (tRNA) molecules are approximately 80 nucleotides in length.
Source: RNAcentral